Molecule: ribosomal RNA, 449 nt
Filed under: uncultured bacterium
Lineage: Bacteria
Description: partial 16S ribosomal RNA
Rfam family: Bacterial small subunit ribosomal RNA
Source: RNAcentral
AACGAACGCUGGCGGCAUGCCUAACACAUGCAAGUCGAACGAGAUCUUCGGGUCUAGUGGCGCACGGGUGCGUAACGCGUGGGAAUCUGCCCUUUGGUUCGGAAUAACAGUUGGAAACGACUGCUAAUACCGGAUGAUGACGAAAGUCCAAAGAUUUAUCGCCAGAGGAUGAGCCCGCGUAGGAUUAGCUAGGUGGUGUGGUAAAGGCGCACCAAGGCGACGAUCCUUAGCUGGUCUGAGAGGAUGAUCAGCCGCACUGGGACUGAGACACGGCCCAGACUCCGACGGGAGGCAGCAGUGGGGAAUAUUGGACAAUGGGCGAAAGCCUGAUCCAGCAAUGCCGCGUGAGUGAUGAAGGCCGUAGGGUUGUAAAGCUCUGUUACCCGGGAUGAUAAUGACAGUACCGGGAGAAUAAGCUCCAGCUAACUCCGUGCCAGCCGCCGCAGUAA